Molecule: long non-coding RNA, 321 nt
Organism: Lineus longissimus
Lineage: Eukaryota; Metazoa; Nemertea; Pilidiophora; Heteronemertea; Lineidae
Exons: 2
Source: RefSeq, a predicted model, not a curated record
CUUUUAGGCGCAAUGAAGUACAUGUUGUUUACCGUUUGCAUCCUCCUGGUGUUUGUUAUGGCCAAGGAAGCAGAUGCUUGCGGGAACUCCGGUGAUCAUUGUAACAACGACUGCUGUGGUGGUUUUACGUGUGACUGGGAUCAAGGGCUCCCUACGGUCUAUGGCAUACGUGUCGCGGAGGCACCGAGGCCCUGUGGAUCCUUUCCCGGCUGCCAAUCGUAAUGUUAUUAUCUCAUCUUCGCCGCAGGAUGUUACAAGGAUCUUUAUUGAAUAAUUAAGAUGUAAAGUGUUCAAAAUAAAAAUUGCGAUAUCAACUUAUAA